This 374-nucleotide ribosomal RNA is filed under the name uncultured organism. RNAcentral's name for it is "partial 16S ribosomal RNA". It matches the Rfam family "Bacterial small subunit ribosomal RNA", at positions 527 to 896 of the family's 1533-position model. The record is from RNAcentral.
GGAGGAGGCGAGCGUUGUUCGGGAAUCACUGGGGCCUAAAGCGCGUGUAGGCGGGAUGGUAGGGUGCCUCGUGAAAGCCCUCGGGCUCAACCGAGGAAUUGCAGGGCAAACCCUCAUCCUUGAGGCAGGUAGAGGCAAGUGGAACUAUGGGUGGAGCGGUGAAAUGCGUUGAUAUCCAUGGGAACGCCGGUGGCGAAAGCGGCUUGCUGGGCCUGUUCUGACGCUGAGACGCGAAAGCGUGGGUAGCAAACAGGAUUAGAUACCCUGGUAGUCCACGCCGUAAACGAUGCGCACUAGGUACGAGGACUCUGACGGUUCUCGUGCCGAAGGAAAACUGCUAAGUGCGCCGCCUGGGGAGUACGGCCGCAAGGCUA